GUGGCUGUAGCUCAGUUGGUUAGAGCGCCUGGUUGUGGUCUAGGAGGUCGCGGGUUCGAGACCCGUCAGCCACCCCA
This 77-nucleotide transfer RNA is filed under the name Alphaproteobacteria bacterium. Its description in RNAcentral is "tRNA-His". It matches the Rfam family "tRNA". Rfam says of the family: Transfer RNA (tRNA) molecules are approximately 80 nucleotides in length. Lineage: Bacteria; Pseudomonadati; Pseudomonadota; Alphaproteobacteria. The record is from RNAcentral.